UACAGUACAAUAAAUUGCUCUGGGCGCAGCCAAUCAGAAAUGAGAUUUUUCCAUGCAUUUCAUUAUGAUACAAAGCUGUAGUUGGUUGCCUGGGAUUUCAAAAUAUUUUUGACAAAACUUUUUGCUUAUAUAUACUUAAUAAGGUAUACACACAAGGAUAUAUUUGGCAUAGUCUGUAUACGCGUUGGCAUAAUCCACUGGCAUUGUGACAUUCGCCGAUCAUUUAGCACUGUUUUUGUUUGCAAUUUGCUUGUUUACUCAGGCGGGCUGCGUAUCAGUUAACUGUCUGCUUGAAACGCAUUAAAACAUUGACAAUCUGUGCGGAACCUUCUAUCAAUGUUACACGGUGUUUAUAUAGAAAUUUCAAAAUAGGUUUAUCUGCAAGAAUAACAGGUCACUGGAAAUUUUUUUCAAAAUCCUUAUACUAUGUAAAUAGUAUGGAUCUUCGUUGGAAAUAGUAUGGAAAUCCAAUUUUCAUAUACUAAUUCCAACUUCCAUACUAUGGAUAAGUGUGGAUAAGUAUGGGUAUACUAUGCCUAUGGAUUUAAUGAUGCAUUGCAAAUUCCAUAAUGGUUUCACUAUUUUUUCCAAUUGGAUUUUAGUGUAUAUAUAGAGAGAGAGGAUAUUUAUACACGGCGGCGCUAAGAUAUGACUUUUAUCUUCGAGUGGUGAAAACAAUAUUUUACGAACGAUCGCAGCGAGUGAGUGAAUAUUGUUUUUAACACGAGAAGAUAAAAGUCAUAUCUUCAAGACACCGUGUAAUGUUCUGUUUAUUAUAUAGUCCCAAGCAAAAAAUUGUGAAAUUUCACGCUCAAAAGCAAAUCGGAAAAAGUCACGUGAUCGAUAUCUUCACUAGUGAACUGAUAUGGAAAAUAUCUCACUGUGUAUUUUUCAGUAUCUCAC
Molecule: non-coding RNA, 903 nt
Organism: Paramuricea clavata
Lineage: Eukaryota; Metazoa; Cnidaria; Anthozoa; Malacalcyonacea; Plexauridae
Source: the annotation of a GenBank genome assembly